GUGGGGAAUCUUGCGCAAUGGGCGGAAGCCUGACGCAGCAACGCCGCGUGUGGGAAGACGGCUUUCGGGUUGUAAACCACUUUCAGGGGGGACGAAGCUUCCGAGGUUAAUAGCCUACGGGGUGACGGUACCCCCAGAAGAAGCCCCGGCUAACUACGUGCCAGCAGCCGCGGUAAUACGUAGGGGGCGAGCGUUGUCCGGAAUCAUUGGGCGUAAAGCGCGUGUAGGCGGCUUGGUAAGUCUGGUGUGAAACCUUGGGGCUUAACCCCAAGCCUGCACUGGAUACUGCCAAGCUUGAGUCCGGGAGGGGAGAGCGGAAUUCCUAGUGUAGCGGUGAAAUGCGCAGAUAUUAGGAAGAACACCGGUGGCGAAGGCGGCUCUCUGGAACGGUACUGACGCUGAGACGCGAAAGCGUGGGGAGCGAACAGGAUUAGAUACCCGAGUAGUCC
Molecule: ribosomal RNA, 449 nt
Filed under: uncultured bacterium
Lineage: Bacteria
Description: bacterial SSU rRNA
Rfam family: Bacterial small subunit ribosomal RNA
Source: RNAcentral